CCCUUAGAUGCUCUGGGCCGCACACGCGCUACACUGGUCGAUGCAACGAGUUUCUUUCCUUGGCCGACAGGCCUGGGCAAUCUUUGAACAUCGAUCGUGAUCGGGAUAGAUUCUUGUAAUUUUUGAUCUUAAACGAGGAAUUCCUAGUAAACGCAAGUCAUCAGCUUGCAUUGAUUACGUCCCUGCCCUUUGUACACACCGCCCGUCGCACCUACCGAUUGAAUGGUCCGGUGAAAUCUCCGGACUGGCGUGAGUCGGAGCAAUCUGACAAACACCGGAAAGUUGAUUAAACCUUACCAUUUAGAGGAAGGUGAAGUCGUAACA
This 324-nucleotide ribosomal RNA is filed under the name uncultured eukaryote. RNAcentral describes it as "partial 18S ribosomal RNA". It matches the Rfam family "Eukaryotic small subunit ribosomal RNA", at positions 1470 to 1796 of the family's 1831-position model. The record is from RNAcentral.